GCCGGCACCGGAACUUCCGCUGCCGAGGAGGCGCGGGCUCCCGGAGGAGGUCUGAGCCCGGCCUGGCGCCCCGCCCCCCGCGCCUUGGCGCCGAGCGGUCCCCCCACUCCCACCCCGGCUCCGCGGGUCCUCGCGGCCGCGCUCCGGCACUCUAGCUCGGGCAUGGGGGCUGCGCGAAAACCGACCGCUGAGAAACUCAUUGACUUCUCUCAAGUAUUAGGCAGAAGCAGCGCCUGGUUUUACAGCAACUGAAUCUCGUGCAAUUUCCUAGGUCCCCAUUGGGAAAAAGGGUGUCCAGGAGUCUUGGAACAGUUUUCUCCGGAGGGAAAACGCCCUUGGCUACGUCGUGUGCGUUCCCUGUGAUUGUGGUCUUGCGGGCACCACGCAUAGUUCUGCCUCUGUUUUGCUCGCUGCUUAUUUUUGACACCUUUUCCGAUGACAAUUAUGUAGUAAUAUUUUCCAUAAAGAAGAGAUGGAUCUUUUCCCUUGUAUGAUAAAACUUCUUUAAAUUGGUAACAUUACUGAGACUGACCUGUAGCUUUUUUGGAUUACUAUCAAAUUGGGACCCUGUCACCAACUAGCUGAGGAUUCUUUUCCUCAAUUCGGAUGGAAAUCAUGAUCCAUGAAGUGCGGCUUCC
Molecule: long non-coding RNA, 638 nt
Organism: Chinchilla lanigera (long-tailed chinchilla)
Lineage: Eukaryota; Metazoa; Chordata; Mammalia; Rodentia; Chinchillidae
Exons: 3
Source: RefSeq, a predicted model, not a curated record